UGGGGAAUAUUGGACAAUGGACGAAAGCCUGAUCCAGCCAUGCCGCGUGUGUGAAGAAGGUCUUCGGAUUGUAAAGCACUUUAAGUUGGGAGGAAGGGCAGUAAGUUAAUACCUUGCUGUUUUGACGUUACCGACAGAAUAAGCACCGGCUAACGCUGUGCCAGCAGCCGCGGUAAUACAGAGGGUGCAAGCGUUAAUCGGAAUUACUGGGCGUAAAGCGCGCGUAGGUGGUUUGUUAAGUUGGAUGUGAAAGCCCCGGGCUCAACCUGGGAACUGCAUCCAAAACUGGCAAGCUAGAGUACGGUAGAGGGUGGUGGAAUUUCCUGUGUAGCGGUGAAAUGCGUAGAUAUAGGAAGGAACACCAGUGGCGAAGGCGACCACCUGGACUGAUACUGACACUGAGGUGCGAAAGCGUGGGGAGCAAACAGGAUUAGAUACCCAAGUAGUCCCUGAGCGGGCUGGCAAGGCGCAU
Molecule: ribosomal RNA, 472 nt
Filed under: uncultured bacterium
Lineage: Bacteria
Description: bacterial SSU rRNA
Rfam family: Bacterial small subunit ribosomal RNA
Source: RNAcentral